AAGCGGCGCAGGGUGAGUACACGUGGGUAAUCACCCUUUGGUGGGGGACAAGGUCGGGAGACCGGGGCUAAUACCGCAUACGAUCAUCUUCUCUCCGGAGAGGGUGGGGAAAGGGGGCCUCUCCACAUGGAAGCUCUCGCCAAAGGACGAGCUCGCGUCCCAUCAGCUUGUUGGUGGGGUAAUGGCCUACCAAUGCAACGACUGGUAGCUGGUCUGAGAGGAUGAUCAGCCACAGUGGAACUGAGACACGGUCCAUACUCCUACGGGAGGCAGCAGUGGGGAAUAUUGCGCAAUAGGGGAAACCCUGACGCAGCGACGCCGCGUGGGUGAUGGAGGCCUUCGGGUCGUAAAGCCCUGUUGGAGAUGGGCGAAACACCGGUAGGAACAAUACCCUACCGGCCUGACGGUACUUCUCCAGAAAGCACCGGCUAACUCCGUGCCAGCAGCCGCGGUAAGACGGAGGGUGCUAACGUUGCUCGGAAUUACUGGGCGUAAAGCGCGUGUAGGCGGACUGGAAAAGCGAGACGUGAAAGCCCUCGGCUUAACCGAGGAAGCGCCUCUCGAACUAUCAGUCUUGAGUGCGGGAGAGGGAGGUAGAAUUCCCGGUGUAGAGGUGAAAUUCGUAGAUCUCGGGAGGAAUA
This 641-nucleotide ribosomal RNA is filed under the name uncultured organism. Its description in RNAcentral is "bacterial SSU rRNA". It matches the Rfam family "Bacterial small subunit ribosomal RNA", at positions 93 to 708 of the family's 1533-position model. The record is from RNAcentral.